Neofelis nebulosa (Clouded leopard) is the source of this 766-nucleotide long non-coding RNA. RefSeq lists it as uncharacterized. The transcript has 4 exons. The record is from RefSeq and is a predicted model, not a curated record. Lineage: Eukaryota; Metazoa; Chordata; Mammalia; Carnivora; Felidae.
UUCAGGUCUGAGACAGAAAAGAGAGACCUCUCUGGGGACACAGACUUGGGAGCUGGAAGCUUGUAGAUGGAAUGUGUGAGACCACCCAAGGACGGGGACACUGUGGGAUGAGCAGAAGACCUAGCACAGAAUUCCCAGCAACACCAACAUUAAGAGGCAGCAGAAAUUAGAAAAGUCACUCGGGAGACAGGAAAAGAUGGAGAAAACCAACAGUCUUGGGGCCAUGGAGGCUGAGGGAAGAUGCCCUUGGCAAAUGCUGCAGAGAGGUCCUCCAAGAGUGAAACAUUCCUUCAUCUGUCCCUGAUCCAAAACUUAUAUAUACUUGAAAGAACGUAUCAGGUUGGCAAAUAAUGUUUUUCAAUUUGUUUUCCAAUAUCUGGAUUGGCUGGGAUUUGGCCUUAAAGACUUGGCUGACCUUCCUAGACGACCGGGUGACAGAUUCUUCCAGAAAUGCAACUAGAAUGAGCACAGAGCAAAGUUAGAGAAGAUGUAACCGUGGAAGAAUGACCAGAGAAAUGCAACCUUGAUGGCACUGAAGAUAAAAAUGGCAGUGAACCAGGGCCUCUAGGAGCUGGAAACAAUAAGGAAAUGGAUUCUUCCCUAGAGCCUCCGGAAGGGAGCACAGCGCUGACAACACUGUGAGGUUAGCCCCUGGAGAACCAGGUCACCCUACUAACCUACAGGACUGCAAGGGUCCAGGCUGACCAAGGAGCACCUAUCUAGGACGUGCCAUUGUGACAGAUUAAAAAGAGAGAUGGUGGAACCA